Molecule: ribosomal RNA, 508 nt
Filed under: Ramosomyia viridifrons (green-fronted hummingbird)
Lineage: Eukaryota; Metazoa; Chordata; Aves; Apodiformes; Trochilidae
Description: partial 12S ribosomal RNA
Rfam family: Bacterial small subunit ribosomal RNA
Source: RNAcentral
UAGAUACCCCACUAUCCCUAGCCUUAAAUCUUGACACUUCCUAGACUAAAGUGUCCGCCUGAGAACUACGAGCACAAACGCUUAAAACUCUAAGGACUUGGCGGUGCCUCAAACCCACCUAGAGGAGCCUGUUCUAUAAUCGAUAACCCACGCUACACCCGACCGCUCUUUGCUCGCUCAGCCUAUAUACCGCCGUCGCCAGUUCACCUAUCUUGAAAGAACAACAGUGAACACAACAGCCCCAACCACGCUAAAAAGACAGGUCAAGGUAUAGCCCAUGGAGCGGAAGAAAUGGGCUACAUUUUCUACCCUAGAAGAUUACGAAAGGGGGCAUGAAAUUCCCCCCAGAAGGCGGAUUUAGCAGUAAAGUUGAACCACAAUGCCAUCUUAAAGCCGGCCCCGGGGCACGUACAUACCGCCCGUCACCCUCCUCGCAAGCUAUCAACACAAGUAAUUAACCCCAACUUCCAGCCAAAGACGAGGUAAGUCGUAACAGGGUAAGUGUACA